This 253-nucleotide ribosomal RNA is filed under the name uncultured bacterium. RNAcentral's name for it is "partial 16S ribosomal RNA". It matches the Rfam family "Bacterial small subunit ribosomal RNA", at positions 524 to 776 of the family's 1533-position model. The record is from RNAcentral.
UACGUAGGUGGCAAGCGUUGUCCGGAUUUACUGGGUGUAAAGGGCGUGUAGCCGGGCUGACAAGUCAGAUGUGAAAUCCGGGGGCUCAACCCCCGAACUGCAUUUGAAACUGUUGGUCUUGAGUAUCGGAGAGGCAGGCGGAAUUCCUAGUGUAGCGGUGAAAUGCGUAGAUAUUAGGAGGAACACCAGUGGCGAAGGCGGCCUACUGGACGGUGACUGACGCUGAGGCUCGAAAGCGUGGGGAGCAAACAGG